Long non-coding RNA from Symphalangus syndactylus (siamang), 893 nucleotides. RefSeq lists it as uncharacterized. The record is from RefSeq and is a predicted model, not a curated record. NCBI's taxonomy places the organism in Eukaryota, Metazoa, Chordata, Mammalia, Primates, Hylobatidae.
UCUCCGUGGGGCCUCCGGUGUCUUAGGGUCGCCGGAGGCUGGAACCCACGGGGCCACCCUCCGAGGGUCAGCAGCUGCCGAGGCCGUUGCCACAGAAGGUGGCAGCACCUCCUCGCGGGUCGCGGGGAGUGGGCUCCCCCAGGGGCUUCUGGGACGCGACCCUGCGACCCACGCCAUUCAGCAGUCGGAUUUUAUUUUGUUUCAGAAACACUUCAGGACCAUCUAGUCUUUUUCUCUAUUUAGGGAAGAGUUUUAAGAAUGUUACAAAAGAAACAGACUCCUGAAACAACGUUACACCCUAGCAUGAAGAAAGCGUCCACAGAGUGUGCUUCCCCCAGGGGUUAAGCACAGAAUCUCCCUUUGGCCCGCAGUUCUGGAAAAAUAAGGCAGGGACCCCGAGGAGAGUGGGGGCAGUGCCGCACUGUUUCCCGGGGCCUCAAGCAAACUCCCGUUAACAGGCUGAACGGACCUGAACAUCACAGGGAGGCCAGGGCCUGAGAAGAGCCGGAGAUAGGAGAAGAUGGGAGAGCCCUUCAGUCUGGAGUUUGCUAACUUGGUCAAGGACAACAGACGGCAUCAACUCCCUGAUGGCUGCAAAGGGGGAAGAUACAGGCCUGUCCUCAGAACAUCGGCCUGGCCAUUGGAAGCGGAGCACUGGAUUAAGAGUCCCCAAUGACCUCAUCAUGUCCUUGGUGGAUGUGGGACCUCUCUGGAGAAAGGCAGUGUCAGCUUGCGUUUGACAGACACUCAUGGAAGGACCUCCAUGGGUUGUGACUGCACACACUGGGCUCACCAUGCUUAUUUUGACCACAUGGACAGCCUGUUGGUCCCAGCUACUCAGGAGGCUGGGACAGGCGGAUGGCUUGAGCCCAGCAAUUCAAGUCCAGCCUGGG